UUUGGCGGCCAUAGCGAGUUGGUCCCACGCCUUCCCAUCCCGAACAGGACCGUGAAACGACUCAGCGCCGAUGAUAGUG
Molecule: ribosomal RNA, 79 nt
Filed under: Pseudomonas aeruginosa
Lineage: Bacteria; Pseudomonadati; Pseudomonadota; Gammaproteobacteria; Pseudomonadales; Pseudomonadaceae
Also listed under: 1 other name
Source: RNAcentral